AGGUAAGCUACUAAGAGCGAAUGGUGGAUGCCUUGACUGGUAAAGGCGAUGAAGGACGUACUAGACUGCGAUAAGCUACGGGGAGCUGUCAAGAAGCUUUGAUCCGUAGAUUUCCGAAUGGGGCAACCCAAUGUAUAGAGAUAUACAUUACCUAUAUAGGAGCGAACGAGGGGAAUUGAAACAUCUUAGUACCCUCAGGAAAAGAAAUCAAUAGAGAUUGCGUCAGUAGCGGCGAGCGAAAGCGCAAGAGGGCAAACCCAGUGCUUGCACUGGGGGUUGUAGGACUGCAAUGUGCAAGAGCUGAGUUUAGCAGAACAUUCUGGAAAGUAUAGCCAUAGAGGGUGAUAGUCCCGUAUGCGAAAAACAAAGCUUAGCUAGCAGUAUCCUGAGUAGGGCGGGACACGAGGAAUCCUGUCUGAAUCCGGGUCGACCACGAUCCAACCCUAAAUACUAAUACCAGAUCGAUAGUGCACAAGUACCGUGAGGGAAAGGUGAAAAGAACUGAGGUGAUCAGAGUGAAAUAGAACCUGAAACCAUUUGCUUACAAUCAUUCAGAGCACUAUGUAGCAAUACAGUGUGAUGGACUGCCUUUUGCAUAAUGAGCCUGCGAGUUGUGGUGUCUGGCAAGGUUAAGCAAACGCGAAGCCGUAGCGAAAGCGAGUCUGAAUAGGGCGCUUAGUCAGAUGCUGCAGACCCGAAACGAAGUGAUCUAUCCAUGAGCAAGUUGAAGCUAGUGUAAGAACUAGUGGAGGACUGAACCCAUAGGCGUUGAAAAGCCCCGGGAUGACUUGUGGAUAGGGGUGAAAGGCCAAUCAAACUUCGUGAUAGCUGGUUCUCUCCGAAAUAUAUUUAGGUAUAGCGUUGUGUCGUAAUAUAAGGGGGUAGAGCACUGAAUGGGCUAGGGCAUACACCAAUGUACCAAACCCUAUCAAACUCCGAAUACCUUAUAUGUAAUCACAGCAGUCAGGCGGCGAGUGAUAAAAUCCGUCGUCAAGAGGGAAACAACCCAGACUACCAGCUAAGGUCCCUAAAUCUUACUUAAGUGGAAAACGAUGUGAAGUUACUUAAACAACCAGGAGGUUGGCUUAGAAGCAGCCAUCCUUUAAAGAAAGCGUAAUAGCUCACUGGUCUAGUGAUUUUGCGCGGAAAAUAUAACGGGGCUAAAGUAAGUACCGAAGCUGUAGACUUAGUUUACUAAGUGGUAGGAGAGCGUUCUAUUUGCGUCGAAGGUAUACCGGUAAGGAGUGCUGGAGCGAAUAGAAGUGAGCAUGCAGGCAUGAGUAGCGAUAAUUAAUGUGAGAAUCAUUAACGCC
This 1313-nucleotide ribosomal RNA is filed under the name Campylobacter jejuni. RNAcentral describes it as "partial 23S ribosomal RNA". It matches the Rfam family "Bacterial large subunit ribosomal RNA", at positions 1 to 1338 of the family's 2925-position model. Lineage: Bacteria; Pseudomonadati; Campylobacterota; Epsilonproteobacteria; Campylobacterales; Campylobacteraceae. The record is from RNAcentral.